RNAcentral lists this long non-coding RNA (684 nucleotides) under Nicotiana benthamiana. RNAcentral's name for it is "long non-coding RNA (NBEN_LNC027205)". The record is from RNAcentral. Lineage: Eukaryota; Viridiplantae; Streptophyta; Magnoliopsida; Solanales; Solanaceae.
UGCCACUUUCCUUUGGAAUGCAUACAAUGUUGUUGCAAGAUUGCCGUUUCACGACCUUUUCUUUUUUAAGUUGUUGUGCUUAGGUUGAAGCCUUCUUUCUUAUCUCCUCAGCUAGUCUUUCAUUGUAGUACUUAGGGAGAACCCUUGACUCUAGUAAAGCUGUGAGCUUAUUACAGACCUUUCUUGAUGUCCUUACUUGCCUAUAAUCAUCCAUAGUUGCUUACUUCCAUACCCUUGUGCUUGUAUGCUUGCUUCUGAACUAAUAUUUUGACUGCCUUCCCAAUGUCACUUUAUUUUAUUUCUGUAACACUCAUACGAUACCUUUAACUACCCCAAAUCUUGUUUGAAUAUAUCUCAAGUAUUAUAAUGGUAUUCAUCAAGGCUGAAUUAUCCAUGUUAGGUUCUACUAUGUUUAUCUUAGACGAUCUGAUAACUUAUCUGUAACCUCCCGUUUAGCCAUAACUGGGAUCUUCCUGACCAAUUACGAACUACUCGUUGGCCCAUUCUCAUAUAAACAUUCAUUGUAAUCUUUCUUGGGUUAUUUUCUUUGUCUUAACUUACGUCUCGUACUGGCUCCUUAUUUAUAAUCACGACUCGGGCAGGAACCUUUACUUCCUCUUCUUGACGUCAUGCUUCCACAACAUUCUUGAAUUAUAGUGUAUCUGUAAGAUUUGGAUAAGUGCC